UUGCUGGGGUGGAUGAGUGGCGAACGGGUGAGUAACACGUGAGUAACCUGCCCCUGACUUCGGGAUAAGCCCGGGAAACUGGGUCUAAUACCGGAUACGACCUGUCCUCGCAUGAGGGUGGGUGGAAAGUUUUUUCGGUUGGGGAUGGGCUCGCGGCCUAUCAGUUUGUUGGUGAGGUAAUGGCUCACCAAGACGACGACGGGUAGCCGGCCUGAGAGGGCGACCGGCCACACUGGGACUGAGACACGGCCCAGACUCCUACGGGAGGCAGCAGUGGGGAAUAUUGCACAAUGGGGGAAACCCUGAUGCAGCGACGCAGCGUGCGGGAUGACGGCCUUCGGGUUGUAAACCGCUUUCAGCAGGGAAGAAGCGAAAGUGACGGUACCUGCAGAAGAAGUACCGGCUAACUACGUGCCAGCAGCCGCGGUAAUACGUAGGGUACGAGCGUUGUCCGGAAUUAUUGGGCGUAAAGAGCUCGUAGGUGGUUGGUCACGUCUGCUGUGGAAACGCAACGCUUAACGUUGCGCGUGCAGUGGGUACGGGCUGACUAGAGUGCAGUAGGGGAGUCUGGAAUUCCUGGUGUAGCGGUGAAAUGCGCAGAUAUCAGGAGGAACACCGGUGGCGAAGGCGGGACUCUGGGCUGUAACUGACACUGAGGAGCGAAAGCAUGGGGAGCGAACAGGAUUAGAUACCCUGGUAGUCCAUGCCGUAAACGUUGGGCACUAGGUGU
Molecule: ribosomal RNA, 730 nt
Filed under: bacterium SCSIO13062
Lineage: Bacteria
Description: bacterial SSU rRNA
Rfam family: Bacterial small subunit ribosomal RNA
Source: RNAcentral